Phyllostomus discolor (pale spear-nosed bat) is the source of this 585-nucleotide long non-coding RNA. RefSeq lists it as uncharacterized. The record is from RefSeq and is a predicted model, not a curated record. Lineage: Eukaryota; Metazoa; Chordata; Mammalia; Chiroptera; Phyllostomidae. The transcript is spliced from 4 exons.
AAAUAACGGGGAACCAGAAGAGAUCAUGGGGCAAGUGAAAAGAACCACCAUCAACCACACCAAAGGCCAGUCUUCAUCCAAAGAAGGUGAUGUUGUGUAUAUGGUGGAAUUGGAAGAGAGUCCUCUAUUAUGAGCUCCUUCCAGAAAACCAAACGAUUGAUUCCAACAAGUACGGCUCCCAAUUAGACCAAUUGAAAGCAGCACUCAAUGAAAAGUAUCUGGAAUUGGCCAACAAAAAAUACAUAAUCUUCCAUCAGGAUAAUGCAACUACAUGUUUAUCUGAUGACCAGUCAAAAACUGUUUGCAGCUUGGCUGAGAAAUUCUGAUUCAUCGACCAUAUUCACCUGACAUUGCACCUUCAGAUUUCCAUUUAUUUUGGUCUUUACAAAAUUCUCUUAAUGGAAAAAACUUAAAUUCCCUGGAAGACUGCAAAAGGCAUCUGGAGCAGUUCUUUGGUCAAAAGGAUAAAAACUUUUAGGAAGAUGGAAUUAUGAUUUUGCCUGAAAGAUAGCAGAAGGUCAUGGAACAAAACAGUGAAUACAUUAUUCAAUAAAGUUAUUGGUAAAAAUAAAAAAUGUGUGUUUU